AUGAUUACUUCGGUGGAGACAUAUUUAAGAAUGGUUUUACUGAAUAAUUUUUUCUUGCUGAAACUAGAAGAAGGGAGCAAGCGGCAGAAGAUUAUGAUGUUGCUGCUAUUGGGAGACGCGGUAAAAUAUGGACAAGUUCCUGUAUUUUAUGGAAGGUGUAGUAUUGAACCUUCUUGCACUGAUCUAGAAUGGAUCUUGACUUCGCCCAAGAGUGAGUCUCCUUUUCAUUCGAGCGGGACGAUGAGGGAAAGAACUGGUUGUGGUGAAAGUCAGUUUAGUGCAUCAAGGAUUGGAGGUUCUGAGAUUUGCAAGAGGUGA
This 318-nucleotide ribosomal RNA is filed under the name Triticum aestivum (bread wheat). Its description in RNAcentral is "partial small subunit ribosomal RNA". Lineage: Eukaryota; Viridiplantae; Streptophyta; Magnoliopsida; Poales; Poaceae. The record is from RNAcentral.